This 69-nucleotide transfer RNA is filed under the name Cynoglossus gracilis. Its description in RNAcentral is "tRNA-Asp". The record is from RNAcentral. Lineage: Eukaryota; Metazoa; Chordata; Actinopteri; Pleuronectiformes; Cynoglossidae.
GAGACCCUAGUAAAAUUAUUACCUUGCUUUGUCAAGGCAAAGUUGCAAGUGAAAACCUUGCGGGUCUCC